This 253-nucleotide ribosomal RNA is filed under the name uncultured bacterium. RNAcentral describes it as "partial 16S ribosomal RNA". It matches the Rfam family "Bacterial small subunit ribosomal RNA", at positions 524 to 776 of the family's 1533-position model. The record is from RNAcentral.
UACGUAGGGUGCGAGCGUUGUCCGGAAUUAUUGGGCGUAAAGGGCUCGUAGGCGGUCUGUCACGUCGGGAGUGAAAACACGGGGCUUAACCCCGUGCCUGCUUCCGAUACGGGCAGACUAGAGGUAUGCAGGGGAGAACGGAAUUCCUGGUGUAGCGGUGAAAUGCGCAGAUAUCAGGAGGAACACCGGUGGCGAAGGCGGUUCUCUGGGCAUUACCUGACGCUGAGGAGCGAAAGCGUGGGGAGCGAACAGG